GAGUUUGAUCGUGGCUCAGAUUGAACGCUGGCGGCAGGCCUAACACAUGCAAGUCGAGCGGAUGACGGGAGCUUGCUCCUUGAUUCAGCGGCGGACGGGUGAGUAAUGCCUGGGAAUCUGCCUGGUAGCGGGGGAUAACGUUCGGAAACGGACGCUAAUACCGCAUACGUCCUACGGGAGAAAGCAGGGGACCUUCGGGCCUUGCGCUAUCAGAUGAGCCUAGGUCGGAUUAGCUAGUUGGUGAGGUAAUGGCUCACCAAGGCGACGAUCCGUAACUGGUCUGAGAGGAUGAUCAGUCACACUGGAACUGAGACACGGUCCAGACUCCUACGGGAGGCAGCAGUGGGGAAUAUUGGACAAUGGGCGAAAGCCUCCGAUCCAGCCAUGCCGCGUGUGUGAAGAAGGUCUUCGGAUUGUAAAGCACUUUAAGUUGGGAGGAAGGGCAGUUACCUAAUACGUGAUUGUUUUGACGUUACCGACAGAAUAAGCACCGGCUAACUCUGUGCCAGCA
This 511-nucleotide ribosomal RNA is filed under the name bacterium enrichment culture clone ALO1_GLFRUDD03G9KBN. Its description in RNAcentral is "bacterial SSU rRNA". It matches the Rfam family "Bacterial small subunit ribosomal RNA", at positions 9 to 513 of the family's 1533-position model. The record is from RNAcentral.